This 275-nucleotide ribosomal RNA is filed under the name Staphylococcus aureus. RNAcentral describes it as "partial 23S ribosomal RNA". It matches the Rfam family "Bacterial large subunit ribosomal RNA", at positions 12 to 284 of the family's 2925-position model. The record is from RNAcentral. Lineage: Bacteria; Bacillati; Bacillota; Bacilli; Caryophanales; Staphylococcaceae.
UAAGGGCGCACGGUGGAUGCCUUGGCACUAGAAGCCGAUGAAGGACGUUACUAACGACGAUAUGCUUUGGGGAGCUGUAAGUAAGCUUUGAUCCAGAGAUUUCCGAAUGGGGAAACCCAGCAUGAGUUAUGUCAUGUUAUCGAUAUGUGAAUACAUAGCAUAUCAGAAGGCACACCCGGAGAACUGAAACAUCUUAGUACCCGGAGGAAGAGAAAGAAAAUUCGAUUCCCUUAGUAGCGGCGAGCGAAACGGGAAGAGCCCAAACCAACAAGCUU